RNAcentral lists this ribosomal RNA (264 nucleotides) under uncultured bacterium. RNAcentral's name for it is "partial 16S ribosomal RNA". It matches the Rfam family "Bacterial small subunit ribosomal RNA", at positions 793 to 1055 of the family's 1533-position model. The record is from RNAcentral.
GUCCACGCCGUAAACGAUGAGAACUAGACGUUGGGUCGCAUGACGACUCAGUGUCGUAGCUAACGCGAUAAGUUCUCCGCCUGGGGAGUACGGUCGCAAGAUUAAAACUCAAAGGAAUUGACGGGGACCCCGCACAAGCGGUGGAGCAUGUGGUUUAAUUCGAUGCAACGCGAAGAACCUUACCUACCCUUGACAUACUGGGAAGCUCGCUUAAUAGUGAGUGUGCCUUCGGGAGCCCAGAUACAGGUGCUGCAUGGCUGUCGU